This 253-nucleotide ribosomal RNA is filed under the name uncultured bacterium. RNAcentral describes it as "partial 16S ribosomal RNA". It matches the Rfam family "Bacterial small subunit ribosomal RNA", at positions 524 to 776 of the family's 1533-position model. The record is from RNAcentral.
UACGUAGGGUGCAAGCGUUGUCCGGAAUUAUUGGGCGUAAAGAGCUCGUAGGCGGUUUGUCGCGUCUGCUGUGAAAACUCGGGGCUUAACUCCGGGCCUGCAGUGGGUACGGGCAGACUAGAGUGCGGUAGGGGAGACUGGAAUUCCUGGUGUAGCGGUGAAAUGCGCAGAUAUCAGGAGGAACACCAAUGGCGAAGGCAGCUCGCUGGAACGGUACUGACGCUGAGGCGCGAAAGCGUGGGGAGCAAACAGG